CAGCCACAUCAUGUUGAAACACCAGUUAUGAUAUGAUCAUUGAAGUUAAGCAAAGUUGAACCUUGUAAGUACCUAGAUGGGUGACCACUUGGGAAUACCAGGUGCUGCAA
Acanthosepion pharaonis is the source of this 110-nucleotide non-coding RNA. The record is from the annotation of a GenBank genome assembly. Lineage: Eukaryota; Metazoa; Mollusca; Cephalopoda; Sepiida; Sepiidae.